Molecule: long non-coding RNA, 740 nt
Filed under: Gossypium barbadense (sea-island cotton)
Lineage: Eukaryota; Viridiplantae; Streptophyta; Magnoliopsida; Malvales; Malvaceae
Description: long non-coding RNA (GBAR_LNC021985)
Source: RNAcentral
UUGGCCGCUCUACUCAUCGAUCCCUCAAAACGGAUCUUUGAACCCCUGCUCAGGCUCCGAUGGCGGCAGAGAGAACAGGGAUUCGACGACGAGGUACUUUCUUUCCCCCCUUUUUUAUGCUACCAUUUCUUUCUUUAACAAACACCCAGUGGAACCUCAAACAAGAAACGAAAUGAGAAAAAUAAAAAAGGAAGAAGGAGAACCCCGAAAUCACCUUUUGGUGUUUUUUUGAUUUUUUGUAUUCAGAUUGCGUAAGUAGUGUUACAGCAUACUCUUGGUCUUUUUAUAGUAUCUAUUUACAGAAAAAUGAAAAAUAAAAAUAAAAAUAAAAACAAAUCGCCCCCAUUCUGUUAUCUUUGCUUUUUUUUUCUCUGCCCCUUUUGUGUGCCGUUGUUGUCUGUUUUACUGCUCAUUUGUUCGUCUCUUGCAAGUACGGUGUACAGAGGUACGGACGUGGCGCGUACGGAGGCGAAGGCGCGCCCGUACGAAAGCUCGUCACGUGUGGAAGGAGAGCGAAGAGACGCUACUGCUAAGGCGCUGGGAACCCUUGCUGCUAAGGUUUCUGACUUCUGGUUUAGGCCAGUUGGGCUAGGGUAUUCGGCUAGGGGUAUUUGGCUUAGUGGUUGUGUUUAGUUUGGGCCAUAUUGAGCCCAGUGUAAAUGGACAUUUAAAAUGAACUGUUUUUAUUGGUUUAUAUUUUUUGUUUAUUUAUUUCUGAUUUGGAGCCGGGUAAAUUUGGG